UGAACGCUGGCGGCGUGCCUAAUACAUGCAAGUCGAGCGAACGGACGAGAAGCUUGCUUCUCUGCUGUUAGCGGCGGACGGGUGAGUAACACGUGGAUAACCUACCUAUAAGACUGGGAUAACUUCGGGAAACCGGAGCUAAUACCGGAUGAUAUUUUGAACCGCAUGGUUCAAAAGUGAAAGACGGUCUUGCUGUCACUUAUAGAUGGAUCCGCGCUGCAUUAGCUAGUUGGUAAGGUAACGGCUUACCAAGGCAACGAUGCAUAGCCGACCUGAGAGGGUGAUCGGCCACACUGGAACUGAGACACGGUCCAGACUCCUACGGGAGGCAGCAGUAGGGAAUCUUCCGCAAUGGGCGAAAGCCUGACGGAGCAACGCCGCGUGAGUGAUGAAGGUCUUCGGAUCGUAAAACUCUGUUAUUAGGGAAGAACAUAUGUGUAAGUAACUGUGCACAUCUUGACGGUACCUAAUCAGAAAGCCACGGCUAACUACGU
This 494-nucleotide ribosomal RNA is filed under the name uncultured bacterium. RNAcentral's name for it is "partial 16S ribosomal RNA". It matches the Rfam family "Bacterial small subunit ribosomal RNA", at positions 30 to 506 of the family's 1533-position model. The record is from RNAcentral.